UACGGGGGGGGCAAGCGUUGUUCGGAAUUACUGGGCGUAAAGGGCUCGUAGGUGGCCAACUAAGUCGGACGUGAAAUCCCUCGGCUUAACCGGGGAACUGCGUCCGAUACUGGUUGGCUUGAGUUUGGGAGAGGGAUGCGGAAUUCCAGGUGUAGCGGUGAAAUGCGUAGAUAUCUGGAGGAACACCGAUGGCGAAGGCGGCAUCCUGGACCAAUACUGACGCUGAGGAGCGAAAGCCAGGGGAGCAAACGGG
RNAcentral lists this ribosomal RNA (253 nucleotides) under uncultured bacterium. Its description in RNAcentral is "partial 16S ribosomal RNA". It matches the Rfam family "Bacterial small subunit ribosomal RNA", at positions 524 to 776 of the family's 1533-position model. The record is from RNAcentral.